RNAcentral lists this ribosomal RNA (482 nucleotides) under Salmonella enterica. Its description in RNAcentral is "bacterial SSU rRNA". It matches the Rfam family "Bacterial small subunit ribosomal RNA", at positions 99 to 595 of the family's 1533-position model. The record is from RNAcentral. Lineage: Bacteria; Pseudomonadati; Pseudomonadota; Gammaproteobacteria; Enterobacterales; Enterobacteriaceae.
CGAACGGGUGAGUAACACGUGAGUAACCUGCCCCAGACUCUGGAAUAACCCCGGGAAACCGGAGCUAAUACCGGAUAUGACACCAACCUGCAUGGGUAUGGUGUGGAAAGUUUUUCGGUCUGGGAUGGACUCGCGGCCUAUCAGCUUGUUGGUGAGGUAAUGGCUCACCAAGGCGACGACGGGUAGCCGGCCUGAGAGGGCGACCGGCCACACUGGGACUGAGACACGGCCCAGACUCCUACGGGAGGCAGCAGUGGGGAAUAUUGCACAAUGGGCGAAAGCCUGAUGCAGCGACGCCGCGUGAGGGAUGACGGCCUUCGGGUUGUAAACCUCUUUCAGCAGGGAAGAAGCGCAAGUGACGGUACCUGCAGAAGAAGCACCGGCUAACUACGUGCCAGCAGCCGCGGUAAUACGUAGGGUGCGAGCGUUGUCCGGAAUUAUUGGGCGUAAAGAGCUUGUAGGCGGUUUGUCGCGUCUGCCGU